Molecule: ribosomal RNA, 123 nt
Filed under: uncultured bacterium
Lineage: Bacteria
Description: partial 16S ribosomal RNA
Rfam family: Bacterial small subunit ribosomal RNA
Source: RNAcentral
CCUUGUACACACCGCCCGUCACACCAUGGGAGUUGGUUUUACCUGAAGACGGUGCGCUAACCGCAAGGAGGCAGCCGGCCACGGUAGGGUCAGCGACUGGGGUGAAGUCGUAACAAGGUACCC